Panicum hallii is the source of this 1655-nucleotide RNA transcript. It is a transcript of the gene named glutaminyl-peptide cyclotransferase, with no coding region annotated. The transcript has 10 exons. NCBI's taxonomy places the organism in Eukaryota, Viridiplantae, Streptophyta, Magnoliopsida, Poales, Poaceae. The record is from RefSeq and is a predicted model, not a curated record.
GAGUAUCCAUCCCUCUCGUCUGACGACCUGCCAGCCAGCCACGGCAAAGAAGCCAGCCAGCCAGCCAGCCUGGCAGUUCGUAGUUGACUUUUCUACUGCCCACCCCGACCCGAUGCCCUCCGCCUCCCGACGCAGGCCCCCGCCGCCGCACCGCCGUCGCGCCAUGCUCCCCACCUCCUCCACCCUCUCCGUCGUCUCCGCACCCACGCCGCCGAAGCCGCUCUACCUCCGCCGCUCGCUCAUUGCCGCCGCUGCCGCCUCUCUGGCCGUGCUUCUCCUCCUCGCGGCCGCCUACGCCCCCUGGAGAUCCGACCUCCCACCGGCCGCCCUCCUCGGCCGCCCAGCGGCGCCCACCGCCAGGUUCUACUCCUUCGACCUCGUCCGCGAGUACCCACACGACCCGGACGCCUUCACCCAGGGUCUCUUGUACGGGGGAAAUGACACUCUUUUCGAGUCCACUGGCCUCUACCACAGGUCUUCAGUCCGAAUGGUUGAGCUUCCAACUGGAAAAGUUCUGGUUCACCAUGAAAUGGACGGGGAUAUGUUUGGAGAAGGUCUAACUCUUCUAGGCAGCAGAUUAUUUCAAGUCACCUGGUUGAAGAACAAUGGAUUUAUAUAUGAUCGACAUAACUUCACCAAACGCAAGAGUUUUACUCACAAAAUGCGUGAUGGUUGGGGUCUGGCGACUGAUGGAAAAGUUCUUUUUGGUAGCGAUGGUACUUCAAAGUUAUAUCAGAUGGAUCCAAAGUCAUUUAAAGUCAUGAAAAUGGUGACCGUCAAGUAUCAGGAUAAUGAAGUCCCCUUUAUUAACGAGCUGGAAUAUAUAGAUGGUGAAGUAUGGGCAAAUGUCUGGCAGGUUAGCUGUCUACUUCCUCCUGACUGGCAAUCUCUUAUUAUGAAGUAUCUUAUCUUAGUGGUAACUAUAUAACGACAUUGGGCAAGGACCACUGUAUCUUCGUUAGAAUCUUAGUGCGACCAGGUUGUUGCUUAUUUCUCAUCCAUGAAUGCCUAAUCUAGACCAAAUAUAAAUGAUAUUUAAAAGUUUCACAGCCUAUUAUUUGUUCUGUGUACCUCAGCUCAGCUUUCCUCAGAACAACCAAGUUAACCGAGUUGUUCCUUGUCUGAAGUCUGAACCAUUGAUGCCAAACAGGUGUCUGAGUUGUGUGAGUAUGACACAAUGCAUCCACUCAAAUCGUUCACAAUAACUAGCCAUCUUAGGUGUUAUAUAUGCAUGAUCAAUCUGGAUUAUCUCAGGCUUUCUUUUGUCAAGCGUCUCAUCGUCAUUGGUGUAGUAGCUGAUUAAAUGGCUGACUAAAAGCUCUCCUAAGUCAUAAACUCAUAAUGCAACACGAUAGUAUCAAACCAGUUGCUUGCUUUGUACAAACGCUGAUCAAUUUGAAUUGCUUUCAAAUUCAGCAAUAAGGAUGGUGGAAUUUCUUAUCUCUCUGUCCACCUGUGGCUAAGUGGCUCGUGUGACUUGGCUGUAUUUCCAUCUAUGAUAUGUAGACAGACUGCAUAGCUAGAGUAUCCCCUGAAGAUGGCCAAGUGCUGAGCUGGAUCUUUCUUCAUGAGCUGAGGCGGAACUUGUGGAAUUCUGGUAACACGAAUAUCGAUGUCCUAAACGGAAUAGCUUGGGAUGAAGGAAAUCACAGAUU